GUGGGCGUAGCUCAGUUGGUAGAGCACGGGAUUGUGACUCCCGUUGUCGUGGGUUCGAUCCCCAUCGUCCACC
Pseudomonas fluorescens is the source of this 73-nucleotide non-coding RNA. The record is from Rfam. NCBI's taxonomy places the organism in Bacteria, Pseudomonadati, Pseudomonadota, Gammaproteobacteria, Pseudomonadales, Pseudomonadaceae.